RNAcentral lists this ribosomal RNA (435 nucleotides) under uncultured bacterium. RNAcentral's name for it is "bacterial SSU rRNA". It matches the Rfam family "Bacterial small subunit ribosomal RNA", at positions 29 to 507 of the family's 1533-position model. The record is from RNAcentral.
AACGAACGCUGGCGGCAUGCCUAACACAUGCAAGUCGAACGAGACCUUCGGGUCUAGUGGCGCACGGGUGCGUAACGCGUGGGAACCUGCCCUUAGGUCCGGAAUAACUCCCCGAAAGGGGUGCUAAUACCGGAUAAUGUCUUCGGACCAAAGAUUUAUCGCCUUUGGAUGGGCCCGCGUUGGAUUAGCUAGUUGGUGGGGUAAAGGCCUACCAAGGCGACGAUCCAUAGCUGGUCUGAGAGGAUGAUCAGCCACACUGGGACUGAGACACGGCCCAGACUCCUACGGGAGGCAGCAGUGGGGAAUAUUGCACAAUGGGCGAAAGCCUGAUGCAGCGACGCCGCGUGAGCGAAGAAGUAUUUCGGUAUGUAAAGCUCUAUCAGCAGGGAAGAAGAAAUGACGGUACCUGACUAAGAAGCACCGGCUAAAUACGUG